AACUCACCAAACUUUAGUUUUACCAAGAUUCUUAUUUUACUAGGCUCAAAACGUGCCCUUAACCUCUAGCUUCUAAUAGGUACAAGAUCCUAGAGAGGAAGUUGUUCAAGCAUGGUACAUGGAUAACAGUGAUGAAGAUCAGAGACUCCCCCAUCACCGGGAACCAAAGGAGUUUGUAUCCCUAGAUCAACUUACUGGACUUCUGUGAAGUUUGCCCAGAAAAGCUGCCUAAUUAUGAAGAGAAGAUCAAGAAUUUUUUUGAGGAACACCUUCACACUGAUGAGGAGAUACGCUACUGUGUGGCAGGAAGUGGUGAAGUUAGAUACACUUUUUAUUUUAUUGCCGUCACUUUUCCAAAAGGAAAAUGAUCAGGUUUUUAACUGCUUGAUUUUGGUGAAGGUUAUUUUGAUGUCAGGGAUCAUAACGACAAGUGAAUUCGUGUUUGGUUAAAGAAGGGGGGAAUGAUUGUUUUGCCUGCUGGAAUUUAUCACCGCUUUACUCUGGAUGCAAACAACUACAUCAAAGUAUUGAUGUCAUACAUGCACGCACACAAAAGCAGCUUGUCUACAUGUUGACAGGAAAAAAAAAAAAAAAGAAGGAUUAACUUUGAAAGAUCUUCAUUCCACAAUACUUGUGAUAUGCACAAUAGUUGCCAAUAUAUCGAUACAUCUGUCAAGAGACAUUUGCCUUGCAUGACAAGGACUUAUAUGGAGAGGACUCAUGUUAUCAUAAUGAAACACAUUACUUCUUAUGUUUCCCUUAGUUAUUGCUAAUUACUAUAUGGUAAUUCAAAUUUGGUACAUUAGUGUUGGUGGCGCAAUUUGCUAUUGAUAUAAACUAUGCUGCUCUUAAUCUAAGGAGCACAUACACGACCGCAUGAUGAAUAUGUGCACAUGCUAGGCAUGUCUUAGACCUGUUCAAUUACAUUGAUUUUACUUUGGAACCAUGAGACGUUAGUUUCACAUGCCUUGGAGACGUUGACGUGCUUAAGAUGCCUUUCACCAUGAGUGUGAACUUCCUUUCAAGAAGGCUCACCAGCUCUUAGUAUCCUUUUAUAUCUUUACCUAAGAGAUGUUUCUCCUAAGCUUAUUUAUUCAGGCAAUGCGGCUGUUUGUUGGUGAUCCAGUCUGGACUCCAUUUAAUCGUCCUCAUGAUCAUCUGCCUGCAAGGAAGGAGUAUAUUAAAGCUUUUGUGGAGAAAGAAAUUGGCGAUCAUGCUGUUAACGCUGCAGCCUGAAUUCUUUAUUAACUUCUAAAAUUGGACUUAAAAAUGAAAAUGUUGUAGCCUGCUGCCUACUACAGUUUCCUGUGCUUGUAUGCUGCAUCUCUCUCUCUUUGCUAGCCUGUUUCCUUACCAUUCCCGUUUAGAACGCUUAGCUACAAGACAUACUUUCUUCCAAUUUUCUGUACAUGGAUACGCACUUCUAAAUAUGGAAUAAGUUUUUUGUAACCUGGUUGUAUUAUAAUGCAUGCACGUCUCGGG
Molecule: long non-coding RNA, 1482 nt
Organism: Carya illinoinensis
Lineage: Eukaryota; Viridiplantae; Streptophyta; Magnoliopsida; Fagales; Juglandaceae
Exons: 3
Source: RefSeq, a predicted model, not a curated record